GACGAACGCUGGCGGCGUGCUUAACACAUGCAAGUCGAACGGAAAGGCCCUGCUUUUGUGGGGUGCUCGAGUGGCGAACGGGUGAGUAACACGUGAGUAACCUGCCCUUGACUUUGGGAUAACUUCAGGAAACUGGGGCUAAUACCGGAUAGGAGCUCCUGCUGCAUGGUGGGGGUUGGAAAGUUUCGGCGGUUGGGGAUGGACUCGCGGCUUAUCAGCUUGUUGGUGGGGUAGUGGCUUACCAAGGCUUUGACGGGUAGCCGGCCUGAGAGGGUGACCGGCCACAUUGGGACUGAGAUACGGCCCAGACUCCUACGGGAGGCAGCAGUGGGGAAUAUUGCACAAUGGGCGGAAGCCUGAUGCAGCAACGCCGCGUUCGGGAUGACGGCCUUCGGGUUAUAAACCGCUUUCGCCUGUGACGAAGCGUGAGUGACGGUAAUGGGUAAAGAAGCACCGGCUAACUACGUG
RNAcentral lists this ribosomal RNA (468 nucleotides) under uncultured bacterium. RNAcentral describes it as "partial 16S ribosomal RNA". It matches the Rfam family "Bacterial small subunit ribosomal RNA", at positions 28 to 507 of the family's 1533-position model. The record is from RNAcentral.